RNAcentral lists this ribosomal RNA (316 nucleotides) under Francisella tularensis. RNAcentral's name for it is "bacterial SSU rRNA". It matches the Rfam family "Bacterial small subunit ribosomal RNA", at positions 124 to 446 of the family's 1533-position model. Lineage: Bacteria; Pseudomonadati; Pseudomonadota; Gammaproteobacteria; Thiotrichales; Francisellaceae. The record is from RNAcentral.
AUCUGCCCAUUUGAGGGGGAUACCAGUUGGAAACGACUGUUAAUACCGCAUAAUAUCUGUGGAUUAAAGGUGGCUUUCGGGCUGUCGCAGAUGGAUGAGCCUGCGUUGGAUUAGCUAGUUGGUGGGGUAAGGGCCCACCAAGGCUACGAUCCAUAGCUGAUUUGAGAGGAUGAUCAGCCACAUUGGGACUGAGACACGGCCCAAACUCCUACGGGAGGCAGCAGUGGGGAAUAUUGGACAAUGGGGGCAACCCUGAUCCAGCAAUGCCAUGUGUGUGAAGAAGGCCCUAGGGUUGUAAAGCACUUUAGUUGGGGAG